CCUACGGGCGGCAGCAGUGGGGAAUAUUGGACAAUGGGGGGAACCCUGAUCCAGCCAUGCCGCGUGUGUGAAGAAGGCCCUCGGGUUGUAAAGCACUUUCAGUGAGGAAGAACGCCUGGUGGUUAAUACCCAUCAGGAAAGACAUCACUCACAGAAGAAGCACCGGCUAACUCCGUGCCAGCAGCCGCGGUAAUACGGAGGGUGCGAGCGUUAAUCGGAAUUACUGGGCGUAAAGCGCGCGUAGGUGGCUUGAUAAGCCGGUUGUGAAAGCCCCGGGCUCAACCUGGGAACGGCAUCCGGAACUGUCAAGCUAGAGUGCAGGAGAGGAAGGUAGAAUUCCCGGUGUAGCGGUGAAAUGCGUAGAGAUCGGGAGGAAUACCAGUGGCGAAGGCGACCUUCUGGACUGACACUGACACUGAGGUGCGAAAGCGUGGGUAGCAAACAGGAUUAGAUACCCCAGUAGUC
Molecule: ribosomal RNA, 465 nt
Filed under: Vreelandella stevensii
Lineage: Bacteria; Pseudomonadati; Pseudomonadota; Gammaproteobacteria; Oceanospirillales; Halomonadaceae
Description: partial 16S ribosomal RNA
Rfam family: Bacterial small subunit ribosomal RNA
Source: RNAcentral